This 449-nucleotide ribosomal RNA is filed under the name uncultured bacterium. RNAcentral's name for it is "partial 16S ribosomal RNA". It matches the Rfam family "Bacterial small subunit ribosomal RNA", at positions 29 to 523 of the family's 1533-position model. The record is from RNAcentral.
AAUGAACGCUGGCGGCAGGCCUAACACAUGCAAGUCGAACGGAUCCUUCGGGAUUAGUGGCGGACGGGUGAGUAACGCGUGGGAACAUACCCUUUGGUACGGAAUAGCCUCGGGAAACUGGGAGUAAUACCGUAUGUGGUCGAGAGACGAAAGAUUUAUCGCCAAAGGAUUGGCCCGCGUUGGAUUAGGUAGUUGGUGGGGUAAUGGCCUACCAAGCCGACGUUCCAUAGCUGGUUUGAGAGGAUGAUUAGCCACACUGGGACUGAGAAACGGCCCAGACUCCUACGGGAGGCAGCAGUGGGGAAUAUUAGACAAUGGGGGAAACCCUGAUCUAGCCAUGCCGCGUGAUCGAUGAAGGCCUUAGGGUUGUAAAGAUCUUUCAGGUGGGAAGAUAAUGACUGUGCCACCAGAAGAAGCCCCGGCUAACUCCGUGCCAGCAGCCGCCGUAA